Molecule: long non-coding RNA, 1250 nt
Organism: Austrofundulus limnaeus
Lineage: Eukaryota; Metazoa; Chordata; Actinopteri; Cyprinodontiformes; Rivulidae
Exons: 3
Source: RefSeq, a predicted model, not a curated record
CUGUAAAUAGGUGACACUGUUCAGAUAAAUAUCAAUUUUGGGAGGAAAAAAUAGGGCUUUAGUCAGCUGAAUCAUUGCAAUUAUUGAACUCAUAAAAUAACUUCCACUUAAAAAUGAAGGCAAAUCAAUAUGAAGAUUUUAAUGUUGACUUAAUUUGAACACAUUGUACAAACUGUGUUGUAAAGUUCAACAAUUUGACAACUUUGACAAUAAAUUUAUAUUUAAAAAAUAUAAUUUUUAAGCUAAAUUAUUAAUUGUAAAAAAAAUCAGCUUAUGGCACAUUAAUGAGGCUCAGUGUGCUCAUAUAAUUUUKGACAAAUGUAAUAUACAAUACAAAUAUUGGACCAAAUUUAAUUUAUUUGAACUUUAUUCAUAAGUGCUGCAUGCAUCAUCAUCAUUAAAGAUGUGCAACUGAGUUAUAUACUUGAAUAUAAAAUAGAAUUUUUUGAUUAUUUGAUGUCCAUUUUAUUGGUUUAACUUUUUCCCCCUCCUAAAUAAAUCACAUAUGAUGCUGCCUCUUUUUAAUAUCCGUUUUAUUCAAAAAUACACCGAUGUCAAAUCUUCUGUGGUCCUGUUUGAACUUUUUCUUAUACUAAGUUGUUGUUUGGGGUGAGGCUGAAGCAUGUUCAAGUAUAGGGAUAAGAUAAUCACAUUAUCUGAAGAAAUUGUCCAUAAUACAAUUAGAAAAAUCUGUAUUUUGUUACCACCAGAUGACAGUAUUUAUUCUCUCAACUUGUCUUGACAUUACAUCUACAGACCCCUAGUGGAAGGACAGGGAACCAAAAUGUCUUCUAUUAAUACUAAGCAGUAGGUUUAACCUUUCACCCUUAAAUCAAAAAUGUAACAACAAAAAGUUUUCAGAGUAUUUAUAAAUCAAACACCGAUUUGAGAAAACAAGUUCAUUUUCUUACAUAUUCUGCCCUUUUAAGGAAACGCACACACUUUUCCUCAAAGCCGCUGAGCAUACAAAUUUGGAUCCAGAAAGAUGUUUUAUUAAACUGUGGCCGGGAAUAUUGUUCUUAGAAUAUUUACCCACACUGCAGAGAGCGUGCAUGAAUGAAAAGGUCAAUGAAAUGGAUUGAGCGCGAAGAAAAUCACUGCACACUCUUCUUUCUCUGCCAAAAGGUCUUGAGCAGCAUUAAUGUCCUGCUCUCUCUGAUAGAUAAUGAAAGAUUGUGUGUGUGUGUGUGUGUGUGUGUGUGUGUGUGUGUGUGUGUGUGUGUGUGUGUGUGUGUGUGUGUGUGUGUGUG